ACGUUCCCGGGCCUUGUACACACCGCCCGUCAAGUCACGAAAGUUGGUAACACCCGAAGCCGGUGGCCUAACCCCUUGUGGGAGGGAGCCGUCGAAGGUGGGACCGGCGAUUGGGACUAAGUCGUAACAAGGUAGCCGUACCGGAAGGUGCGGCUGGAUCACCUCCUUUCUAAGGAG
Molecule: ribosomal RNA, 177 nt
Filed under: Arthrobacter cupressi
Lineage: Bacteria; Bacillati; Actinomycetota; Actinomycetes; Micrococcales; Micrococcaceae
Description: partial 16S ribosomal RNA
Rfam family: Bacterial small subunit ribosomal RNA
Source: RNAcentral